UACGUAGGGUCCAAGCGUUAUCCGGAUUCACUGGGCGUAAAGGGUGCGUAGGUGGCGUGGUAAGUUUGAUGUGAAAGCUCAGGGCUUAACCCUGAAAUGGCAUUGAAUACUACUGUGCUGGAGGUUUGGAGGGGGGACUGGAAUUCUUGGUGUAGCAGUGAAAUGCGUAGAGAUCCGGAAGAACACCGUGGCGAAGGCGGCUCUCUGGAACGCAACUGACGCUGAGACGCGAAAGCGUGGGGAGCAAACAGG
RNAcentral lists this ribosomal RNA (252 nucleotides) under uncultured bacterium. RNAcentral describes it as "partial 16S ribosomal RNA". It matches the Rfam family "Bacterial small subunit ribosomal RNA", at positions 524 to 776 of the family's 1533-position model. The record is from RNAcentral.